GCCGGGUUGUUCUAAUCGGUUAAGGCGUCGCCCGGGACAGGCGAAGGUUGCGGGUUCAAUCCCCGCUCCUGGCC
Molecule: non-coding RNA, 74 nt
Organism: Ixodes scapularis (black-legged tick)
Lineage: Eukaryota; Metazoa; Arthropoda; Arachnida; Ixodida; Ixodidae
Source: Rfam